GCAGAGCAGAGACUCCAUAAGAAAGGUACAAUAUUCUAUGUAAGAACUCUUUAUUGUAGUACACACUGUGAGAAUACAAAUGUAGGCAUUUUUUUUAUAGAUUCAGGUAUAGAUGGAGGCACAGAAAAAGAGGUCUCUAAAUUAGGUUUAUUAGUUUUGACUCCCUCUUCUCCCUCUUACAAAUUCUGUGACUCUGGUUAAUUAAUCUUGAUAAGUUUCAGUUUCCUCAUGGUGAAAUGGGAAUCGUCUUAGGCUGGCCUCAUAAGAUUUUCCCUAGUAAUAGGAUCAGGAAUGUGGGGAAUUUUUGGCAAAGAGUGAAAUACAAUAAAAGUAUUAAUUAUUAUGACAUAGUACACACAAAAAAAAAUUGAAGAGUUUAAUCUAACAAAGGAUACUCACAUUUUUUUUAGUUUAAGGGGUUUGAAUAGAUGAACUGUUAUUUAAGGAGAUUGCUAUCUUUUAAGAUAACCCUGUAGGUUUUACAUUGUCAGGGCAUUCAUUUGCACUGAAAAAAAAAAAAAGAUUCAAGUUUUAUACCUAAAAGGCAACAUCUAUUUUUUAAAGUCAAUAGGAUGCCUGAUAACAAAUAAGGCCUAAAGAAAUAAUAAGAAAAUACUAGAUUAAAACCACGUUACAAAUUAAUUCAUAAUGAUGAUACAAAGAAAAUCUUGAAAGUGUUUACAAUAUAAAUGUCUGAAUUUCUAGUUGUGACCAGAAACAGAGAUUGAUAUGUAAUGUAAAAAAUGAAAAAGAUAAAGUAUAAAGUAUCAUAAGAAUUAUUGAUAAUCAGGAAAACAUACAUGAAGGUAAAUGAUGAGGUAAAUGGUAAUUAGAAUAUUAAAAACAGAAAUGAAGAGGUAAAUAUGUGGCCAUACACACACCCCAAAACACCAAAGUGAAAUCCCAAUGAAUGAGAGGUAGAUUAAAGUGAGAAGAAAAAAAAAAUAAUAAAACCUAAAAAAAAUCAGGAUGAAAAAGUGAGUAUAAAUAAAGAAACCACAAUAUCAGAACCUCAGAGUGAGAACUCAGGGUAACACGGACAUAGAAGCAUUGAAGACAUUUUUUAUUUAUUUUUUAUUUUUAUUUUUGUCUUUGAGGGCCACACCCAUGGCAUUUGGAAAUUCCCAUGCUAGGGGUCAAAUCAGAGCUGUAGCCUCUGGCCUAUACCACAGCCAUAGCAAUCUCAGAUCUGAGCUGUCUCUACGACCUAUACCACAGCUCAUGGCAAUGCUUGAUCCUUAAUCCACCAAGCAAGGCCAGGGAUCAAACCUGCAUCCUCACAGUUACUAGUCAGAUUCAUUUCCGCUGAGCCACGAUGAGAACUCCCUUAAAGAAAUUUUUUAAAUUGCAAUUACUAAGAGAUCACUAUAUUUAUGAAUUGUAAAUAUGAAAAAAUUAGUAUGGAUGGAUCCUGACAAUAAAGUUAUGUGUCAGAGAAACAAACAAAAAAAUAUCUUAUUAAUAUACUGCUUUGGGGGUAUGUAGUUUCCCUUUCAAAACCCUAAAAAUGAGCAUAGGAAAGCAUUAAAUCCAGAAUUUAACACAAUAACAAUCUCAGAAAGCAUGUCUGAAAUUACCUCAAUUCUUAAAUUUAUUGGGUUUUGAAUGAUGCAACUGUACCAUUUGAUCAUAAUUUAAGACAAUGAGAUCAAGACGACACUUUUGUGUUCAACUUAUUGGAUUAUUUAUUAAUGAUUUCUACUCUUUCUGGGUGAUGUUAACCUUGCAGAUCUUGAUAAAUUGACAAGAUAGCUCUAGAUUUACAUUCUUUUAGAUUAAAACUUGAAUUUUGUUUAUGGUUUGUCAAAAAAUCCUAAUUGAGGACACAGGCAUACAUUCUUCUAUGUCAUUUAUAUUUCCCCUGUUUCUUUGUGUUACAAGAUAUUUUAAAACUGAACCAGAAAUGAACAUUACUCGUUGCUCCUCAAACACUGAGAUCCUUUCCCAAGCCAUCUCCUAUUGCCUAGUCGAAUAUAGGACAGGAUCUGAUAAUGAUUCAUUAUGAAAGUUUCAAAAUCCUAAUAAUUUUUACUAUACGUAAUAAAAAGAAGUGGGUUCAUUACAUCAGGGGUGGAAAGUCAGACCUCCAUGUUUGUGCUCUUCCCUCUUCUCAUGUAACUGAAGGAGAAAUCAGUAAUAUAACUGAAAACCAUCUUUUUCCUGAGGCUUAAAAUUUUUCCCAAUAUGAAGUUCCAGGCACACCUUGCUAAUAAGGUAGAAUCAGCACUAUGAGUGAAAGCUAAUGUGACACCUCUAUGAGAAUAAAAUGCUGGGUUGUAACUGAAUUUUAGAUCAAGAGAUCAUAGGCAUCUGGGUAAGAGAGAUCAUUUAAAGAAGAAAUUGGUAUGAUGGGUUAAAGACAAAUUGGAGACUAGAGAGAUCAUUUCUCCAAGCAUAAGCAGUGAUAUAACUACGAUGCAGCCUGAAGAGGCUGUGAAAUGUAGAGAACUGGUUUUACACAGUUAGAAUGGGAUGCUUUGGAUCACUACAAGUGUUCUUUUACGUACUGAGCCAUUUCAUAUACACAGCAACUGUAUACAUUGAAUACUAUUAUCAUCUACCUUUCCCAGAAAAAAGAAAACUGAGGCCCAUCGAGGUUAAAUAACUCACCCAAGUUAAACUGGAUAAUCAAAGGCAGAAACUGGGAUUUGAACUGGAUAAUCUGCUUCAGAGCCAAUGUCCUUAACUAUAAGCUUUGGACCUUCUGCCUCCUACGUAAGUCUAUUAGAAGAAUCAAAUAAGAACAUCUGAGUGAAAGUGAAUUUUAAGGCAUCGGCAGAUGUAAAGAGUUUAUAUUAGUAAUGGACUCCUGAAACAUGUGGCGUGGUUGAGGAUUGGGCUUGCACAUAAGAGCCCUUGCCAGCAUGUGAAUGCUGUGACCAAUCCCUUAGUAAGUGUGGCAAGUAUUAGAACAAUUUAUUUCACUUGAGUCUUAUUUGAAUUUUAGCAUUUUAUCAUAUUAGCCUCAAGGAACUGAACAGAGGAGUUCAUGCAAAACCCCAGUGACGUUCUUUUUAUAUUUUACUACAGAUAGUCUGCUCUUCCCAGAAAUUCCUUGAAGGUAGAAACUGUAACUUUUACCACAUGCUAUGUCCUGCAGGGCUAUCUCGGGGCUUUGAAGAUAGAGUAGGUAGUCUAUAAAUAUUUGUUAAAUAAAUAAAUGAGUUAAUUAUAACUCUAUUUACAUUGGGCUUUUACUCAAAUAAAAUAUCAACUUUAUUUUUGGAGUGUCUUGGUUGCCAGGGACAUUUUUAUAUACACAGAAGCCUCCCAGCUCCCCUCAUCCCACUUCCCCUCAUCCCACUCCCAGCAUUUUCCUGUAGUAACUGCCAUCACAAUCUUGAGUGUAGAGAAAGCAGAGUUUAACUCAAAUGUUCUUUAAUAGCAGCAUCUCUACUGAGUGGAAGGGAAAUUGAUUAUGAUGGUUGUCAGAAUGCAAGAAAAUAAGUUAAAAUCUAGAAAUGGACUAAAUGGUAUCUCUGACUUUAAAGAAUCAAGUUCCACUUAUCAGUAACUUAAGAGCACUCCAAAUGCAUAGAACAGAUAGAAACACAAUGCAGAAGUACAAGACCCAUUUGCAGAAAAUCAAAGCUCAUCCAUACAUUUUUCUUUUCUUUCUUCUUUUGGUAGUAUGUGUUAAAAGAAUUCACAGCACCCCUUUAUCUGGGUUAAUAACAGCAUAAACCUGAAUGUUUUACAGUGGGAAUUGAAAAUUCCUGAUAAGUACAAACAAAAGCAGAGUAUUCAUUUUUGGUAAGUUUUUCAUUAUUGACAGCUUUACAACUCCUUUCAUGGCAAUGCCAAUUGAUUUGGAGCCAUCAUUAAAAGAAUUCCAUAUGCCUGAACUUGAACUAUAAAGUUGGGCAACAGGUGGUGAAACAUUUACAAAAACAAGCUCGGCCUACAUUGGAACAAAAAUGGAUACUAUCAUUAUUAAAUUACAAGCAGAAUCAUAAUUAAAAGUAACUAUUGAGAGAAAUCCUGGUGAAUAAGCAAUAUGUUUGUGAGCCAGCACAUCCCAACGCCUAACACCUAACAGUAGCUCUUGAGAUUCUCCUGAGAAAGUUUAAAUCUGGAGUGGCAAUUUUAUCUUUCCUUAAUAUGUUUACUCCUUUGUUCUAAAAAGAAGGACUACAGAGCUUAAACUAGCACUUUAUUUGAGAUGUUGCUCCAAAAUAAAUCUCUCCUGACAUGGAUUUAUAGGUUGGACUGAAGUAUAUUUUAACC
RNAcentral lists this long non-coding RNA (4227 nucleotides) under Sus scrofa (pig). Its description in RNAcentral is "lncRNA (ENSSSCG00015056299.1)". The record is from RNAcentral. Lineage: Eukaryota; Metazoa; Chordata; Mammalia; Artiodactyla; Suidae.